CAGUCGCCGCGGUAAUACGGAGGGAGCUAGCGUUGUUCGGAAUUACUGGGCGUAAAGCGCACGCAGGCGGUCUGUCAAGUCAGAUGUGAAAUCCCCGGGCUUAACCUGGGAACUGCAUUUGAAACUGGCAGGCUAGAGUCUUGUAGAGGGGGGUAGAAUUCCAGGUGUAGCGGUGAAAUGCGUAGAGAUCUGGAGGAAUACCGGUGGCGAAGGCGGCCCCCUGGGCCAAUACUGACGCUCAUGCACGAAAGCGUGGGGAGCAAACAGGAUUAGAUACCCCGGUAGUCCCUGUCUCUUAUAC
Molecule: ribosomal RNA, 301 nt
Filed under: uncultured bacterium
Lineage: Bacteria
Description: partial 16S ribosomal RNA
Rfam family: Bacterial small subunit ribosomal RNA
Source: RNAcentral